UCCUCUUUCUGUCGUCCCUUCUCCACUCUCUGGCCUCUCCAAUCUCCACCCUCUUCUCUUCCCGUUCUCUUAUCCGUCCCGUCUCCACUCUCCAUACUUUCCACAUUAAGUAAGUUUUUAUGGGUUUUUAGUUCCUUUUCUCUUCCUUUUGUUCUAUGUUUUCUUAGCUUAAAAUUUUAUGGGUCUGGUCGAUGAGUGUUUUUAUGUUGGUUUUAUAAAUCAUUUGAAAUUGAAUGAUGAUUUUAGAAAUUGAGUAAUUGGAGACUGUUUGAUUGUGUUGUAAAUUUAUGGUUUGAAUUGAAUGGCUUAUGGUGAUAUUGGCACGAAUGGCUGAAUUGGAAAUAGUGUUGAAAUUGUAUGAACUGUUUGUUUUGCCUUAACAAGCUGGGUAGUAAUAUAAUUGCCAUGUCAUGCUGUUGAAACUUUUAUUGAUUUGGUGGGAUAUUGAUUAGUCACUGUAGUGGCGGGUUUUCGUGGACCAGCCUAUUAGAGAAGGGCACGGUAAACCCGGUUAUAUUUUACCUUGGUACGAGAGGCGCGUAGGGUAUCUCUUAAGGUAAAGCUUUAGAGUUCACUACACACUAAACCACCACGUGAGGGUGAACUCAGCCAAUGCCAAGAAGCGUCUAUGCUUUUAAACGUAAAAAUUUGUUUUAUGCGUAUAUGAACUUUUCUUUAACAGCCUUGAUGGACUCGGUUGGAUGCCCCGGCCAAGGUAUCCCUGAGAAUGAGUUUUGGCACGAGCCAAAUUUUUAAGAAAUUCAUAAGCCAUGUUGAUUAUUUGAGUGAAAUGAAAUUAUUUUAUUUAGUUGAAAUGAGUUUGAAACGUUAUGAAUCAUAGUACGAUGAACUAUUUUAAGUUAUCUCCAUUUACUCAACUUUAGAUAUUUUAGAUUAUGUUUGUUUACUCACUGGGUUUAAAAAAACUCACCACCCUUUUUUCAUACAUUUCAGGCUCAGGGCAGUCUGUAGACCGUCGAUUUUGUCGAGGGUUUGCUAUUGGAUUCGCACCCUUAGAAAUCGUACAGUCGUGUUUAUUUUGGUUAUUUUGGGGGCCCACAUGUCAUUGUAGAAUAUUUUGUAUGCCUGGUUGCGUGUGCCAUUGUAUGUAUGAAUUUAUUUUGCUUUUACGCUAUAAAAAUUA
This 1144-nucleotide long non-coding RNA is filed under the name Theobroma cacao (cacao). RNAcentral describes it as "long non-coding RNA (TCAC_LNC001190)". The record is from RNAcentral. Lineage: Eukaryota; Viridiplantae; Streptophyta; Magnoliopsida; Malvales; Malvaceae.